RNAcentral lists this long non-coding RNA (660 nucleotides) under Mytilus galloprovincialis (Mediterranean mussel). Lineage: Eukaryota; Metazoa; Mollusca; Bivalvia; Mytilida; Mytilidae. The record is from RNAcentral.
AACUACGCUUCCACUACGACUUUCCCCCGUUUACACCACGCUAUUCAAGAUCAUAGUACGAUUCUAGCACGCCCUUGCCGUCCUCAUCACGCUCUUCUUACGACCUGACUUCGUUCAUACUAUGACCAUUAUUCUCAUUGUCAUUUUCACAUAAAAUAUAUUAUAUAUCUCCAGGUUUUGUUUGUCUGUAUGAAGUUCUUGUCCAUUUUCUCAAACGGCUCAGCCAUGCUUCUCGUUUAUAUAGAUUAGACCGUUAGUUUUCCCGUUUGAAUGGUUUUACACUAUAGACGUUAUUUUUGGGGCCCUUUAUAGCUUGCUGUUCGGUGUGAGCCAAUGCUCCGUGUUGAAGGCCGUUCCUUGGCCUAUAAUGGUUUAUAAAUUGUUACUUGGAUAGAGAGCUGUCUCAUUGACACUCAUACCACAUCUUCCUAUAUCUAUUAACAUAUCUGUGUCAUCUCUGCUAUCGCUCACUAAAAUAUCGUCAUUUGAGCUUUAUGGACCCGCAACAAGUUGUAAUUUGGAUUUGAUUGGUCGGUCCGAAAACUCUGCUUGAUCAGGAUUCGUUACUGUCAGGGCUCCCUCUGCCUCUGCAUCAACGUGUUCUAGCAGAUUUUGGUGGCAUGACUGUAUUGCUUCCGAGAAAUCUAUGUAUUAAUCAGA